This is a long non-coding RNA of Microtus ochrogaster (prairie vole), 564 nucleotides long. RefSeq lists it as uncharacterized. The record is from RefSeq and is a predicted model, not a curated record. NCBI's taxonomy places the organism in Eukaryota, Metazoa, Chordata, Mammalia, Rodentia, Cricetidae. The transcript is spliced from 4 exons.
GGGAACAGCAACAAAAUUACUAAUGGCUUAUAAAUGCGUAAGUGAGGAUUUGAAGAUUUUAGGCUGUAUUUUAACACUAUGAAUGUUGUGCAAAAUCAGCGGAGCAAACGGAAAAGCAACUCUGGAAGAACACACCUCAGAAAUAAAAGCAAAACCCCUUCUCCAAUGUAACACAUGUCCUGAUGUCCACUCUGAGAUGAAGCUCAGAUCUAUUGCUGCAAUUUUCCAUGGGUUGUUGCUGCUGUUCUGUGCCUGAACAGAAUCCAGUCCCAACCCUCCUGUAGCAGGAGGAAUUACUUCAUGGACGAGGUGAGAGAAGUGGAACCAGCCCAAAGAAAAAAGCAAUUCUACAGCAUCUGAAAAGGGAGAAAACUGCUCUUUAAAAAAGUGCAUGAAGCUAACCUAUGGGUGUUCGGUAGCUUCAACGGCUUCAAGCAUGAGUCUAAUUCCUGAAGGAAGUGAUGGCUGGCCACGGCAUAUGCACAUGCUGUCAGCAAGAAGGAACAGUCUGGAGGGGCCACUGAUAGUGACAAUAGGAUAUGUCUCUACUGCAUAUACCAGCUU